ACAGCCCAGAGACCAUGCUGUUGAAUUCCGCGCCAUCCGGGCCGUACGCCAGGUUCAGGAGCACCGUGUUCUUGAUGGCCACGCUUGCCAGCGCGCUGAACGAGUCGAUGGCCCCGUACGUGUCGAACAGCGCGUAGGCGGAGGGCCAGGUGGUGAUGACGGUGGGGUAGCGCACCGGCACGCCGGCGGAGGGCCAGGUGGUGGCGUUGGCCAUGGUGAUGUUCUCCACCAGGAUGAUGUACUGCCCGUACUGCUUCGCCGAGGCCGGCGACGACUCGGUCAUGGCGGUGAACAGGUCGUCGCUGUCACGGACCUGGAACACCACGGUCGGCGGCACCUGCGCG
Molecule: long non-coding RNA, 344 nt
Filed under: Chlamydomonas reinhardtii
Lineage: Eukaryota; Viridiplantae; Chlorophyta; Chlorophyceae; Chlamydomonadales; Chlamydomonadaceae
Description: long non-coding RNA (CREI_LNC001266)
Source: RNAcentral